RNAcentral lists this small nuclear RNA (159 nucleotides) under Trichobilharzia regenti. Its description in RNAcentral is "U1 spliceosomal RNA". It matches the Rfam family "U1 spliceosomal RNA". From Rfam's summary of the family: U1 is a small nuclear RNA (snRNA) component of the spliceosome (involved in pre-mRNA splicing). Its 5' end forms complementary base pairs with the 5' splice junction, thus defining the 5' donor site of an intron. There are significant differences in sequence and secondary structure between metazoan and yeast U1 snRNAs, the latter being much longer (568 nucleotides as compared to 164 nucleotides in human). The record is from Rfam by way of RNAcentral. Lineage: Eukaryota; Metazoa; Platyhelminthes; Trematoda; Strigeidida; Schistosomatidae.
AUACUUACUUGGCGCCGGGUUCAGGGUGAUCAAGAAUGCUCUGAUCCCGGGUGGAGGCUCACCAUUGCACCUCGGUGGGUUGAAACUCGUGACGGACCUUAAUCGGGUGCGCUCAGGCGUGUUGUUUUUGUCAAUGGGGAGGUCUCACGGUCCUCCUAU